CAACGGAUCGACUACUGGGACUGCACUGUUUA
RNAcentral lists this non-coding RNA (32 nucleotides) under Geobacter sulfurreducens PCA. The record is from RNAcentral. Lineage: Bacteria; Pseudomonadati; Thermodesulfobacteriota; Desulfuromonadia; Geobacterales; Geobacteraceae.